UACGUAGGGUGCGAGCGUUAAUCGGAAUUACUGGGCGUAAAGCGUGCGCAGGCGGUUCGUUGUGUCGGUGGUGAAAUCCCCGGGCUUAACCUGGGAAUGGCAUUUGGGACUGCAAGGCUAGAGUACGGCAGAGGAGACUAGAAUUCCUGGUGUAGCAGUGAAAUGCGUAGAUAUCAGGAGGAAUACCGAUGGCGAAGGCAGGUCUCUGGGUCGAUACUGACGCUCAUGCACGAAAGCGUGGGGAGCAAACAGG
RNAcentral lists this ribosomal RNA (253 nucleotides) under uncultured bacterium. Its description in RNAcentral is "partial 16S ribosomal RNA". It matches the Rfam family "Bacterial small subunit ribosomal RNA", at positions 524 to 776 of the family's 1533-position model. The record is from RNAcentral.